GCCGAUGUAGCUCAGUGGUAGAGCAACUCCAUGGUAAGGAGUAGGUCACCGGUUCAAGUCCGGUCAUCGGCU
RNAcentral lists this transfer RNA (72 nucleotides) under Ignavibacteria bacterium. RNAcentral's name for it is "tRNA-Thr". It matches the Rfam family "tRNA". Rfam says of the family: Transfer RNA (tRNA) molecules are approximately 80 nucleotides in length. Their secondary structure includes four short double-helical elements and three loops (D, anti-codon, and T loops). Further hydrogen bonds mediate the characteristic L-shaped molecular structure. tRNAs have two regions of fundamental functional importance: the anti-codon, which is responsible for specific mRNA codon recognition, and the 3' end, to which the tRNAs corresponding amino acid is attached (by aminoacyl-tRNA synthetases). tRNAs cope with the degeneracy of the genetic code in two manners: having more than one tRNA (with a specific anti-codon) for a particular amino acid; and 'wobble' base-pairing, i.e. permitting non-standard base-pairing at the 3rd anti-codon position. Lineage: Bacteria; Pseudomonadati; Ignavibacteriota; Ignavibacteria. The record is from RNAcentral.